UCUCGAACAUUUCGUUUUAUCUACCUUUGUCCUUAGAUCACGUGAUUUCCUAAAAAGAUUGAAGUCGAUGAAAAUUCAACCAUGUUCAGAUUUUGAACACAAAUAAAGUUUGCGUGUUCGGGAUACAAUAUUUCAAAAUAAAGAAACUUGAGAAAGCGUCAUUUUGUUUUAUUCGAGUGUCAAGAGUUUUCUUAAAAGAUUCGGUGUCGAUGACAAAGACAAUAUACUUAUCCAAUUAAAGGUCAAUCGUCGACUAUAGCAAGUUUUUAUUAUAAACAUGUUUUAGAGAUUUUACUCUGUAUUUCCCUCAAAUAUAACGUGAUAUGAUCAAAACAAUAUAAAGUAUAUAGAUUGUCCUAUUUAGAUCACCUAUAUCAUGCAAAAAAGAAAGAUGUAAUUUGCAAUGAUCAAGCAUCUAAUUGCAUCUAACUUGAGCUCAAUACCAUCACCACAGCGUCUAAUCAGAGCUUUAAACUCUCUAUAAAGCGAUACGAGCUACCUAAACUUAAUGAUCGAUUAUAUAUUUCAUCAUGAAAGGUAUAACAUUUUGUAAAUGAAAACGUAUUGAUUUAUUUUGAGAUAUGGGAAAGUACAUAACAUGAUUGCCACUCUUGAAGACAUUUAUUUGUUGGGAUGGUUAAAGUAGGAGAAACUUUUUGCGUGUUGUAGCUAAUGGGUGUGAGUGUAAUCGACAUGGAUAUUAAUGUUCCUUGAAUAUUUAUUUAAAGUACGGUGUAUAUGCCAAGUGGCAGUUGGACUCAGCGUAUUACAGAUAUUUGAUGAAAUAACGAAGGAUAAAAGUUACGCCGACAAAUAACUACCAACAGAGUCUUUCAGUUCAAAAAUCAGGUUAUGACAUUCAUCAAUAUUGGAUAAUGUAAUGAAGAUAAAAAUACACAUCGGAUGAUGGGAAUACUUUGAAUAUGAACUGUUUUAAACUUAAUGUCGUAUUUUGAAAUUGUGUUGCCAGGAAAGGGAAUAUAUAGCAGCUGUUUAAUGAUGAUAAAGCAAAAUGUAGCCAUUUCAAAGUCGUGUCUUUGUAACUUCACCAAUGCCGGUAUCUUUUGAAAUCUUUGACAAGGAACUUACUUACUUGAAAACGUGAUUUUGCAGCGGUUCCCGUAAGGAAAGUUGUAGAAAAAACUGGGUUUUUUUCAUUUCUUCGAGAAAAGUAGUCGGACGAAUUUGUUUGGAAAUGACCUUUUAGUAAAAACUAAACCCACAGAACUCUAAUCACAUCAAUCUGGAAAUUUAAAAUAUCCUAGCUUGCCGUAUGCACAGCACGAAAAUAUAUUUUGUGAGACUAGACAUGGAGAAAAUAUUGGCAUUUAGAUCACAGAAGAAUGUACAUUGUAUAUGUGUACACCCACGUCAAUUAUGUGAAUGAAACCGACAAAAAAACAAUUCGUCGGUUUCGCUGUUUAUACUUCAAUAUACUUAAUCAAUAUACUCAAUAAAUAUAUAUAAUAUAAAUAUAAAUUUCUUUCGGUGUAACCCUGGUGAAUUUUACCAAUAUUUAAUGUUUGCUCACUUGCGUAGGAGUAGCAUGGACUACAAGUAUUUAGGAUGUACUUAAGAUAUUUGGCGCUCUCUGCUAUGAAUUACACGCGGGCACGAAUUACAUGACGAAGAUAAAAUUACACACAACAUUUACACCUGAGUGGAUGGUUUGAACCCGGAAGUAUCGUUACAAGUUUCUUAAUGUUGAUCUUCGGAGUCGAGAUGACUACCUGUUGUCGAAACGUCAGUCAACUUAAACAUCAACAGUCUAUCUCGGGACUGUACUAACCUGGAUGAUCCAUUUCUAUACAAAACACACUUUUUAGAAUUGGUUUCAUCUGAGUUGUGUAUAAUCUUAGCAUGUCGACAUAUUGUAUGGUCUAUUGGCGUUACAGUUAAUUCAAAUACCAUCUACGUAUCUUAUUUUGUGUUAACGAUUUAUGACUCGAUUUUGCUCAGUAAUAUAUAUGUAAUAUGUAUUAGUAUGUAUUCAACAAUUGUAGUUUUUAAACAUGGACCGUAUAGCAAUAA
Long non-coding RNA from Xenia sp. Carnegie-2017, 2031 nucleotides. RefSeq lists it as uncharacterized. NCBI's taxonomy places the organism in Eukaryota, Metazoa, Cnidaria, Anthozoa, Malacalcyonacea, Xeniidae. The transcript has 2 exons. The record is from RefSeq and is a predicted model, not a curated record.